GUGAGUCAUCGAAUCUUUGAACGCACAUUGCGCCCGCCAGUAUUCUGGCGGGCAUGCCUGUUCGAGCGUCAUUUCAACCCUCAAGCUCUGCUUGGUGUUGGGGAUCGGCAGCCCGGCUUCACGCCGCGCCGUCCCCCAAAUGUAGUGGCGGUCACGCUGCAGCUUCCUAUGCGUAGUAGUACACCUCGCACUGGAGAGCGGCGCGGCCAUGCCGUAAAACCCCCUACUUUUUUAUGGUUGACCUCGAAUCAGGUAGGACUACCCGCUGAACUUAAGCAUAUCAAUAAGCGGAGGA
Molecule: unclassified non-coding RNA, 295 nt
Filed under: Mariannaea sp.
Lineage: Eukaryota; Fungi; Ascomycota; Sordariomycetes; Hypocreales; Nectriaceae
Description: partial contains 5.8S ribosomal RNA, internal transcribed spacer 2, and large subunit ribosomal RNA
Rfam family: 5.8S ribosomal RNA (bases 1-71)
Source: RNAcentral